GUGAAUCAUCGAAUUUUUGAACGCAACUUGCGCUUCCUGGCAUCCCGGGGAGUAUGCCUGUUUGAGGGUCAUUAUUAAUACAAACUCGGUUUAGUUACAAAUUGCGAUGUUUACGGAGUGUGGGCUAUCUUUACAUUUUUGGUUAAGAGGCUUAAAAUUGACCUUUUUUGCGCAUUUUUAAGUUUACAUAAAUUUUUUUUCUUCGUCUAUUCUUAAUGUCA
RNAcentral lists this unclassified non-coding RNA (221 nucleotides) under Glomeraceae sp. RNAcentral's name for it is "partial contains 5.8S ribosomal RNA and internal transcribed spacer 2". The stretch from base 1 to 71 matches the Rfam family "5.8S ribosomal RNA", at positions 84 to 154 of the family's 154-position model. The record is from RNAcentral. Lineage: Eukaryota; Fungi; Glomeromycota; Glomeromycetes; Glomerales; Glomeraceae.